GAUGAACGCUGGCGGCGUGCCUAAUACAUGCAAGUCGAGCGAACGGACGAGAAGCUUGCUUUUCUGAUGUUAGCGGCGGACGGGUGAGUAACACGUGGAUAACCUACCUAUAAGACUGGGAUAACUUCGGGAAACCGGAGCUAAUACCGGAUAAUAUUUUGAACCGCAUGGUUCAAAAGUGAAAGACGGUCUUGCUGUCACUUAUAGAUGGAUCCGCGCUGCAUUAGCUAGUUGGUAAGGUAACGGCUUACCAAGGCAACGAUGCAUAGCCGACCUGAGAGGGUGAUCGGCCACACUGGAACUGAGACACGGUCCAGACUCCUACGGGAGGCAGCAGUAGGGAAUCUUCCGCAAUGGGCGGAAGCCUGACGGAACAACGCCGCGUGAGUGAUGAAGGUCUUCGGAUCGUAAAACUCUGUUAUUAGGGAAGAACAUAUGUGUAAGUAACUGUGCACAUCUUGACGGUACCUAAUCAGAAAGCCACGGCUAACUACGUG
This 497-nucleotide ribosomal RNA is filed under the name uncultured bacterium. RNAcentral's name for it is "partial 16S ribosomal RNA". It matches the Rfam family "Bacterial small subunit ribosomal RNA", at positions 28 to 507 of the family's 1533-position model. The record is from RNAcentral.